Molecule: ribosomal RNA, 253 nt
Filed under: uncultured bacterium
Lineage: Bacteria
Description: partial 16S ribosomal RNA
Rfam family: Bacterial small subunit ribosomal RNA
Source: RNAcentral
UACGUAGGGGGCAAGCGUUGUCCGGAAUCAUUGGGCGUAAAGCGCGUGUAGGCGGCUCGGUAAGUCUGCUCUGAAAGCCCGGGGCUCAACCCUGGGAGGCGGGUGGAUACUGCUGAGCUCGAGUCCGGAAGAGGCGAGUGGAAUUCCUGGUGUAGCGGUGAAAUGCGCAGAUAUCAGGAGGAACACCAAUGGCGAAGGCAGCUCGCUGGGACGGUACUGACGCUGAGACGCGAAAGCCAGGGGAGCAAACGGG